RNAcentral lists this ribosomal RNA (449 nucleotides) under uncultured bacterium. RNAcentral describes it as "partial 16S ribosomal RNA". It matches the Rfam family "Bacterial small subunit ribosomal RNA", at positions 29 to 523 of the family's 1533-position model. The record is from RNAcentral.
AGCGAACGCGGGCGGAAUGCUUAACACAUGCAAGUCGCACGCCCUGCAAGGGGAGUGGCGGACGGGUGAGUAACGCGUAGGAAUAUGUCCAGAGGUGGGGGACAACCCUGGGAAACUGGGGCUAAUACCGCAUAUGGGCUGAGGCCCAAAGCAGUGAUGCGCCUUUGGAGUAGCCUGCGUCCGAUUAGCUUGUUGGUGGGGUAAAGGCUUACCAAGGCGACGAUCGGUAGCUGGUCUGAGAGGACGACCAGCCACACUGGGACUGAGACACGGCCCAGACUCCUACGGGAGGCUGCAGUGGGGAAUAUUGGACAAUGGGCGCAAGCCUGAUCCAGCAAUUCCGCGUGGGUGAAGAAGGUCUUCGGAUUGUAAAGCCCUUUCGACGGGGACGAUGAUGACGGUACCCGUAGAAGAAGCCCCGGCUAACUUCGUGCCAGCCGCCGCAGUAA